RNAcentral lists this ribosomal RNA (305 nucleotides) under uncultured bacterium. RNAcentral's name for it is "bacterial SSU rRNA". It matches the Rfam family "Bacterial small subunit ribosomal RNA", at positions 333 to 629 of the family's 1533-position model. The record is from RNAcentral.
UCAGGCCUACGGGGCGCAGCAGUGGGGAAUCUUCCGCAAUGGGCGAAAGCCUGACGGAGCAAUGCCGCGUGAGUGAAGAAGGCCUUCGGGUUGUAAAACUCUGUCCUUAUCGAAGAGAGGUGGGUAUGUGAAUAAUGUACUCAUAGGACGGUAGAUAAGGAGGAAGCCCCGGCUAACUACGUGCCAGCAGCCGCGGUAAUACGUAGGGGGCGAGCGUUGUCCGGAAUCACUGGGCGUUAAGGGCGCGUAGGCGGGUUAAUAAGUCAGUGGUGAAAACUGCGGGCUCAACCCUCAGUCUGCCACUG